CUUCCUCUUUAAUGGAGUUUUAGGGUUUCAAUAGCUUCAUCGAUCUCCUUUGAGAAAUAGAAAGUGACCCUUUCAGAUUCCAUGGAACAGUGAACCUUCCUCUACCUCUGCAUCUCCCCAUCUUCAUUAUGUACAUCAUUAAUGGUUUCGAAUGGUAACAACUACGUUAUUCCUAGCUAUAUAUACCUCAUGUUAAACUCUGGAACCCUUCAUGUCAAAUACACUCAUAGCCGUCACAGAUUAUAACAAGUUCAACGGAGCGUCUUGACAAGGGUAUAGCCCUCCUUUCUGGCGCAAUAAAACCGCAACUCUAAACCUUUGAAGCUCAUCUUCCAAUAUCCGACGAGUCUUCCCGGCAUCGAGCAAAGACAGAACAAAACCAACUCUAAACCCCACUACCGGCAUCGCACACAACUCCGUGUUGUCCGAGAUUGAAUGGAACUGCUUUUCCGUUGAUUUGAAGAUAUUCAGGUUUCAGCCCUCAAGAGUAUUUCGAAGGAAACUGUGAUGUGACCAAGGAGGCGAUCUGUACGAUGUAGCCGGCCAUCUCAGGCUAAUUGAUGGCCAACAACUCCAACAAUGCCAUAUACUUGAGAGCUUUGAGGGAACGAUGAAAGGGCGAUUCUCUGUUCAUCUACAGCUUAAAGAAGGACCUCCUAUAAAUUAUCAAGUGCAUUCUACCGUAAAUUAUCUACCCUGGUUUGUUCUUCAAUACCCAACAUUCAAUGAUGCACAUCUUUUAGCUAACUACUUAACAUGUUAAGGUUAGCCGAGAACCAAAGCAAUAUUGCGUUUGUCUGUUCAGCAGAGGUGACCAAGGUGGAGACUCUUACUGUCGGCGAGAUCUUGGCUUCCCUCAAGCAGGAAAUGUCUCAGGCAAGCGGCUGCUAAUGAAACUUCUGGAUAUGGUAGAUCUGAUAACCUCGCUCAGCAGACGAGCUUGGCUGGGCAUUCCCCACGGUCAGGGCUCGAUUCUGAUCAUAAUUCUGUGUACAUUGAGAAGAGAGAAUGUUCAGCUAAGGAAAGGGUGAAUCAAAGGGCUGUCAACAAGUCCAAUAUUCACGAUGAAUUCAAUUCCUCAAGUAGGGUUUCAAACGCAAAACCAAAUGCUUCAGUUCCUGGACUUAGAUCGUCAUCAGGGUUACCUCCGAAACUGUCUCCAAGACUCCACAACACUCCAUCCCCAAGUGACUGGGAUAUCUCUGGCUGUCCAAAUAAGCCUCCACAAUUUUCAACCUCGCUUACACAUCGGAAGCGCAUGACAUCAAAUCGGUCGUCAUCACCACCUGUCAUUCAUUCAAUGGGCCAGUUAAAGACCACAAAAUAUAUCCCGUACAGCAAGAAGGACGAAUUUAAUACCGAUUGUUUCUAAUAAGGAUGAAGCCUACUCAGAUAUGGUGGCUGUAGUGAAAAUGGGUUUGGAUUUCCUAAACGCUCGCCAGCUGCUUCUCCUCAACUGAGACUGUAAGGUGAAAACAGCUUCCCACAGCAGCUUUGUCAGAAAGUGAAGAAUAUGGCCCCCCUGAGAUCAAGUGUAAAGACAAAAUGAAACAAUCUGAUGAGGUUGAUGGGAAAGCUGCACAUAAUAUUCCAAAAGCGUGUUUCCCUGCUUUACAAUCAACAAAAGGUAGCUAGCCUGCUUCUGGUGAAGAGACUAGGGAUGGUGUGAGAAGGCAAGGAAAGAUGGGCCGUGUUUUUUCUUCCACAAGGUCUCUGAACCCAAUGGGAGUAGAUAAACUUAAGAAUGCUGGAACAGCGAAACAGCUUCGCAGUGCAAGAACUAUCUUGGGCAAGAGUGAAAGUAAAUUGGAUCGUUCACCCACCACGAAACUAUCUGGUCGCAAGACUUACGAACGUCAAAGAGCUACAGCAACAAAUGCUUCACCACUAGUUCAAUUACGUCAUCGACCCCGCGCUUGCGCGGGGGCUUAAUACUAAAAGAAAAGCCAAAACUAUAGAGAAUUAACAUAUUAUUCUAAACCGAAUGUCAAGGUCCCAGCUUCUGACCCGAAUAAACCAACCGUGCUUCGCUGGAAGUGAAGUUAGAGUUUGAGAUUCACCUAGUCUCUUGGAUAGGUCUUGCGGUUUUUAGAGUUGAUUGUGUGUGCUUCAAUGUCAAAUUCAGGAAAUUAAGGCCUUUUGAUACUUUGUGGCCUUUGCUUCAUUCUCCGCCUUACCGUUGUUUGAGAUUCACCUAGUCUC
Long non-coding RNA from Brassica oleracea var. oleracea, 2202 nucleotides. RefSeq lists it as uncharacterized. NCBI's taxonomy places the organism in Eukaryota, Viridiplantae, Streptophyta, Magnoliopsida, Brassicales, Brassicaceae. The record is from RefSeq and is a predicted model, not a curated record. The transcript has 6 exons.